Molecule: ribosomal RNA, 497 nt
Filed under: uncultured bacterium
Lineage: Bacteria
Description: partial 16S ribosomal RNA
Rfam family: Bacterial small subunit ribosomal RNA
Source: RNAcentral
GAUGAACGCUGGCGGCGUGCCUAAUACAUGCAAGUCGAGCGAACAGAUGAGGAGCUUGCUCCUCUGACGUUAGCGGCGGACGGGUGAGUAACACGUGGAUAACCUACCUAUAAGACUGGGAUAACUUCGGGAAACCGGAGCUAAUACCGGAUAAUAUAUUGAACCGCAUGGUUCAAUAGUGAAAGACGGUUUUGCUGUCACUUAUAGAUGGAUCCGCGCCGCAUUAGCUAGUUGGUAAGGUAACGGCUUACCAAGGCAACGAUGCGUAGCCGACCUGAGAGGGUGAUCGGCCACACUGGAACUGAGACACGGUCCAGACUCCUACGGGAGGCAGCAGUAGGGAAUCUUCCGCAAUGGGCGAAAGCCUGACGGAGGAACGCCGCGUGAGUGAUGAAGGUCUUCGGAUCGUAAAACUCUGUUAUUAGGGAAGAACAAAUGUGUAAGUAACUAUGCACGUCUUGACGGUACCUAAUCAGAAAGCCACGGCUAACUACGUG